GGGACCCAGGGACUGGGAGGCCGGUUGGGGCUGGGCUCAGGGGCCGAGACCUAGCUGGGCUUGGGGCGGGGCCGAGACGGAGCGAGGGGUCCAGGGUGUGGGAAACGGGGAGGGGUUUGAGGAGGGGAUCGGAAUGUGGCUCAAGUUCGGGAGGCGUUACCUGCGGAGGGUUUGAGGCAGGCCCAAGAGCGAGCCCAUGGUCUUCCGACGCGGGGCCAGGGGCGGGCCCCAGGAUCCGGAGCUUCGUGCGGGGCCGAGUCCAGGUUUGGGGCCCGGGAGGCGGGGCCAGUUAGGGCGACUGUCCCUGGGAUCGUCGGGUCAGGCCUUGGGCUAACGUAGGCACUCUCGCAGUUCCUCCGCCUUCAGGAAGGUCUUUUCAGCAGGGGCCUUACGGGUGCAUGCUUCGGUCCUGGAGGCCUUAUCCUAGCCUCCUCUCCAUCAGCGCCACCCGUCUGGGGCCCGAAAGGAGGGAGCUUUCCCUCUGUCCCCCAGCCUUUGGACUGUCACCAAACAAGCCAUUCGUUCAUCAAAUACUUUUUAAGCGCCUACCAUGUGCCUGACAAGGGAGAUGUAACGGUGAGAAAAACUAGGUGUGGUCCAGGCCCUUCAGGGGCUCAGGUGCUCGUGGAAGAAGUGGACAUUGAAGUACUUAUCACACAAAUGAGGAUAAAAGUACGAUAGCGAUAUCUACCACGAAGCUGUUGUUCCCCACCAGAACCAAAUGAGCGCAAGAUCUGACAAAGAAAAAAAAAGGUUCAUCUUUUAUUCCUCCAAACACUUUCAUUUAAAUCAAGAGGAUGGGAUGUGGUUAUUGCUGUGUUUUUAGACAGAAUCAACGGUUUCUGGGUCUGAGAUGUUGCAUACACCUUCUCAGUCCCUGUAUCCUGAGAUGGAGUCACCUGAGAAUCCACAGCAAGUCCUAACCAGGGAUGGGUCUGGGUGAUUAAGGAAGGUUGGCUUCAGAACUGGGCCAGGGGCACUGCUUUGCUUUUGCUGUUUUGAUCAGCUCUCUGCCUGAAGGAGACAAGAAAAACCAACGGGAACAGCCCAGUAAAGGCGCCAUUCCCCAUUUUACAGCUGGGGAAACUGAGUUACAGAGCUUGUCUGCACUGAGUCAUCAGGAGCAAAUGCUAGAUCAGAUAGGGUCUCUCUCUCUGCCACCCAGGCCAGAGUGCAGUUGACGCAGGGCAGGGGAGCCCCGAAGUGGAGCAUAGUGUGUCCGGAACUGGUGGGUUCUUGGUCUCACUGACUUCAAGAAAGAAGCCGCGGACCCUCGCGUUCUACAAGGCCUGGAGCUGAUAGGAAAAACCUCCCUUCUUUCCCAAAUGGUCCCCAGCUGCCCCGUUCACUGAAGGCCCUGCAGUCAGGAACGGUCAGGACUUCACACCCAGUUGUUGUGGGUGUUUGGCCGACACGACACUUCCUCUUGUGUGAUUCAUGGACCCGCAGCAUUGCGUCACCUGGGAGCUUUUGGUAUUGAAGACUCUCAGGGCUCACCCGGAAGGACCUGCUGGGCCAGAAUCUACAUUUUAACAAGAUGCCCAGAAACUCCUGGAGGGCAGAGGCAUGCCUGCCAUCUUCAUCAUUGCAUUACCACCACCCAACACUAUCGGGGGACCUGCCCUGAUAAUCAGAGUCUUCCUCUGUCGCCUAGGCUGGAGGGCAGUGGCAUGAUCUCAGCUCACUGAAACCUCCACCUCCCGGGUUCAAGCGAUUCCCCUGCCUCAGCCUCCUGAGUAGUGUGGGACUACAGGCGUAUUCACCAUGCCCGGCUAAUUUUUUUUAUUUUAGUAGAAACGGGGUUUCACCAUGUUGGCCAGGAUGGUCUCAAUCUCCUGACCUCGUGACUCGCUCGCCUCAGCCUCUGAAAGUGCUGGGAUUACAGGUGUGAGCCACUGCGCCUGGCCUAUAUGAAUUUUAUAUUUACCUGCUCCCUUCACCAGGAGAUCAUGCUGCUGUGAUGUCGAGUUUUCUUAACAGCAUAAGGAAGACUUGCCCUCUUGCCCUAUCAAAGAGAAUAGUUUUGGAGGGGAGAAGUGGGACCAAAAAAGAUGCAGUUUUCAUUUGUAUUGGGAAAUGUGAAAAUAAAAUUGACAACUCUUUUAGUUAAAAACAAAAAAAAGAAAAGGAAACAAGAUGUGGGGCUGCCAUAUGUAAUACCGUGGAUUCCACGGAUCUUCUACUCUGGAGGCAAAUAUUAUCUUUGCUGAAGCCAGACCAACCUGACACAAAGACCUUUUGUUUUUUUAAUGUGACUGUGUUUUAUUUUAGAAUGUGUAAUUCACUUUAGAAGGGCAAAGUACCUGUCUGGGGAAGACUAUUUAAUUUCCUGCAUUUAUUUAGAAUGUUGGCUGAUGUUAUUAUGAAGGGAAACAGCUCUAACAACUGAGUGCCCCCCACAUAGCCACAGCUCAUGAGUUCACGGGGCAAAGGAAAUGAACAGCAGCCUCCUAAUAGCCAGCCUUCUUUGUGAUGUGGAAAUAAUUAUCAGCAUGUAAAAGACUAUAUAUAUAUUCAACAAUUCUGAUCCCCUGAAAAAUUCAAAUCUACAACUGAUUUGCUUCCUGGGCUCCUGAAAACAACUUUGUCAAAAUUGUUCAGAAAUAUAAUCAGCCAAUCGUUGCCCCUUGGGGACGCAGGAUAAAGCAAGUCAGCCAUGACCAAUGAGGAGUCGGCCGUGCACAAUUACAUGCAGACCUGCAGGACAUCGAGUCCCUGCUAUGGUCCCUCCCCAGUCAGACCCCCAUUGCCUGGGCUGCAGCCAGAAGCAUUCAGGCACAAGUGCAUUCAACAAAUACUUAUUUAAUUGUAUUGGUGGUUAGAGGGUUGCGAUUGAUUAAGGCACAUUAAUGGAUCCGUGUCCUCCCUGUAUCCAAGAUUCUGCCAUUUGUCUCUGCAGUUCCUCCCACUGAAGAAUCGGAGUAUAUUUCUCCAGUCCCUAAUGUUGGGUUUAGUCAUGUGUCUAGCUUUGGCCACUGGAAUAUUAAUCUGUAUGACCAAAAACUUGGAAAGUGUGAAUUCAUUUCUGCUCACUCACUCCUGCUAUCACCAUGAGAACAAGCCCAGGCCAGACUGCUGCUUCCAGCAGAAGAGACAGCAAGAGCAACGUCGAGCUUCCCAGACAUGCUCAUGCUAGAUUGACCAAUCCUCAGCUGACCCAUAGAUCCAUGAAAAUAAACGAUUGUUGUAUUAAGCCA
RNAcentral lists this long non-coding RNA (3197 nucleotides) under Homo sapiens (human). RNAcentral describes it as "non-protein coding lnc-ZNF705D-2:51". The record is from RNAcentral. Lineage: Eukaryota; Metazoa; Chordata; Mammalia; Primates; Hominidae.